Molecule: long non-coding RNA, 218 nt
Organism: Zea mays
Lineage: Eukaryota; Viridiplantae; Streptophyta; Magnoliopsida; Poales; Poaceae
Exons: 3
Source: RefSeq, a predicted model, not a curated record
UUAUUCACAGGAUUGCAGACAGAGCACAGAUCUGGACCGAGUAUGUUUCCAAGAGACCUUCUGGAGUUGUUGCCAUGAUUUUGGGCAUUGAUGAUGAGAAAGGAACUCCACAACUCUUUACAUGUGAUCCUGCUGGGUAUUUCUUCGGUCACAAGAUUGUAGAUCAGCUCUGUCUGUGUUUGUCACCUUGGAACACAGAAUCCCUACUACUCUCCCCC